Molecule: ribosomal RNA, 331 nt
Filed under: uncultured eukaryote
Lineage: Eukaryota
Description: partial 18S ribosomal RNA
Rfam family: Eukaryotic small subunit ribosomal RNA
Source: RNAcentral
CCCUUAGAUGUUCUGGGCCGCACGCGCGCUACACUGUUCGACGCAGCGAGUCUUAACCUUGACCGAAAGGUUUGGGUAAUCUUCAGCAAAGUCGGACGUGAUGGGGAUCGAUCAUUGCAAUUAUUGAUCGUGAACGAGGAAUUCCUAGUAAGUGCAAGUCAUCAGCUUGCGCUGAUUACGUCCCUGCCCUUUGUACACACCGCCCGUCGCUACUACCGAUUGAAUGGUUUAGUGAGAUCUCUGGAUUGACGCUGGCUAGGGGGCGACCCUUGGCCAGACUGUUGAGAAACUGCUCAAACUUGAUCAUUUAGAGGAAGUAAAAGUCGUAACA